This 806-nucleotide long non-coding RNA is filed under the name Bos indicus x Bos taurus (hybrid cattle). Its description in RNAcentral is "lncRNA (ENSBIXG00000000609.1)". The record is from RNAcentral. Lineage: Eukaryota; Metazoa; Chordata; Mammalia; Artiodactyla; Bovidae.
UUCAGGAAGCCUGCCUCUCCUCCCACUUCGCCCCUUCUCUCCGCGCAGCAUUAUGCUCUGUUGGUGGCUCUGGGCUUUGCAAAAUGUCGCGAUAUUCCCGCCCCCAGCCCCGGCCUGACCCCCGCGCCCCCAUCCACCCUGGGCCUGGCUCCCCCUCACCUCAGCAGGAAUGGGCUCCCGACCCACUCAGCCCGAGGCGGGGGCCCUGAGGCUCAGCCCGGCGCCCAGGCUGGGUUUCGCUUUGCCCCCUUGCUUGGCGGGGCUGCCUGCACAUCCCCGCCCCGUCUGUGUCCCGGGCAUCCCGCCAGCUCCCACCACCUCCACCGCGGCCCCGGUGCUGCCGGUGUCCCCCUGCCGGAUGCCCCGCCUUCCACCACGCGGGCCUGGCCCUCAUGUCGACGGGCAGACCUCUGCCCGCACACCUCCGGGUCUCAUCUCUCAUCCCCGCACCAUGGACGGACGUCUGAAUGCUUACAGUCAUUUCACUGACUCCUGGAAAACUGGAUGGGAGCUGAUGGAUGAGCUAAAAUCAGCAGUCCACUUUGAAGCACCAGAAUCCGAUUUCGGGGAAGACAUCACUUCCACGGACGGGGUAGGGAGGAUGGUUUUGGGAUGAUUCAAACACAUUGCAUUUAUUGUGAACUUUAAUCUAAUGCCACUGCUGAUCUGACAGCAGGUACCCAUCCACAGCCCCGAGGUUGGAGACCCCUGGGCUAAACGAUGCUUUGGGCCUGAUUGUUGCCUUUUCCAUAACAACAACCCUCAGGUAAAAUAAAAGCUUCUGUUCAGGGUUUCCCUGGUGGCUC